RNAcentral lists this long non-coding RNA (1498 nucleotides) under Felis catus (domestic cat). Its description in RNAcentral is "lncRNA (ENSFCAG00000047591.1)". Lineage: Eukaryota; Metazoa; Chordata; Mammalia; Carnivora; Felidae. The record is from RNAcentral.
UGGAAACCUUAUUUCUUUUUUUCUUUUUACUUUUAUUUUAGAUAGAGAAAGAGAAGGCAUAAGCGGGGCAGAGGGGCAGAGCAUUAUCUAGUACGAGAUAGAGAAUUUCUAUAGUAGAGUCUGAGAAUUUCAAGCAGGCUCCACACUCACUGCAGAGCUCUACAUGGGGCUCAAUCCCAUGACCCUGAGCCAAAAUCAAGAGUGAGACACUCAACGAGUUGAACCACCUAGAUGCCCCAGAAAUCAUAUUUCUAAUGCUUACGGUAACUUUUCAUAAAAACUGGAAGGCAAUGAAAGUUGAAGCAUUAUUUGGGAAAGAUGAUUUGAUGAUGAUCUAAUAUAAUAUGGUCCAAAAGUAUAAAUUUCUAUUUGGUCUUCAUGAAAAAUUAAUUUUGAAAAAAUAAAGGAGAGGACGACAGGCUAGAAAUUUUCAAACAUUUUUUGUUUUGACUCAUACUAGAUAAUGCUCGUAAGCACAACACACUCCCAUAUGUAUCAGAUGCAAGUUUCCUCUGUGACCCAAGAAACAUAAUGGAAUGCCAUGGCAUAGGGAUAAUAUAAUAAUUAGGUCCACCUUGAUUUACUUUUUAACAUAAAUUACUUAUCAACUUCAGGACUUUCCCGUUGUUAAAAAAUCAGCAGUAACACACUGUGGAGGAACUCUUCGUUUUUCCGUGGUUUAGAAAGAAUUUGUCAGAAUGAGUUACCUGCUCUGUCAGAGAAAGCAAAGACCAGUAUCCUCAGGCCUUUUGACAGGUAAGAAAACUCAUGUCAUGCUUCCUGUAAAGCUAGAUCUCUGCCAUCUCCUCACUAGUGGGUUCCAUCGGCCUCACUGUUGGGAGACAUAUGUCUCUGACUGCUGCCUCAAGAGUUUCUCACUCUGACCUCAAGAAGGCUGGAAACUCAUUUCAGUCUUGUACCCCAGCAAAGCAAGAACUCACAAGAAAUCUCUUAUUGUAGGAAAGGGUUCAAAGAUUGGGACAACCAAAAUGAGUAUCAAAUAUUUGCUACAGAGGACAGGUACAGAUUUAAUGCAAAAGAUAAAAUGUUUUCACUUUGCAGCACUGAAGCCUGACAGACACUGCCUCAGUCAAACGGUGAAGGAAAACCUCACCCCAGUGAUAAGUCGUGUUGAACACACACCAGCCUGAUAGGACAAGAAUGGAAGUUUAUCUCUGUGGUCACCCCAUCAAGGAUACCUAACCCCAUUUUAACCAUGAGAAAAGCAGCAGACAAGCUCAAACUGAGAGACAAAUACCUGAACACCACUUGUCAAAACAGCCAAAAUCAUCAAAAACAAGCAAAGAUUCAGAAUCUGUCACAAACCAGAGAAGGCUAAGGAGACACAAUGACUAAAUAUGAUACCGUGGAUUCGAUCCUGGCACACAAAAGACAUUAGGGAAAAUCUAAUGAAAUCUGAAUAACGUGUCUCACUUCUUGGCAUUUUGGCUAAGAUGGUGUGAAUAAAAUGUGGAGUUUAGUUAAUAGUAAUAUACCA